AUUGAACGCUGGCGGCAGGCCUAACACAUGCAAGUCGAACGAGUGGCGGACGGGUGAGUAAUGACUGGGAAACUGCCUGAUGGAGGGGGAUAAGUACCGGAAACGGUAGCUAAUACCGCAUACCAUCAGAUGGGCCCAGUUGGGAUUAGCUUGUUGGUGGGGUAAAGGCACACCAAGGCGACGAACCGUAGCUGGGCUGAGAGGAUGACCAGCCACACUGGAACUGAGACACGGUCCAGACUCCGACGGGAGGCAGCAGUGGGGAAUAUUGCACAAUGGGCGCAAGCCUGAUGCAGCCAUGCCGCGUGUAUGAAGAAGGCCUUCGGGUUGUAAAGUACUUUCAGCGGGGAGGCGUUACCCGCAGAAGAAGCACCGGCUAACUCCGUGCCAGCAGCCGCGGUAAUAC
RNAcentral lists this ribosomal RNA (406 nucleotides) under uncultured bacterium. RNAcentral's name for it is "partial 16S ribosomal RNA". It matches the Rfam family "Bacterial small subunit ribosomal RNA", at positions 29 to 526 of the family's 1533-position model. The record is from RNAcentral.